GACGAACGCUGGCGGCGUGCCUAAUACAUGCGAGUAGAACGCUGAAGGAGGAGCUUGCUUCUCUGGAUGAGUUGCGAACGGGUGAGUAACGCGUAGGUAACCUGCCUGGUAGCGGGGGAUAACUAUUGGAAACGAUAGCUAAUACCGCAUAAUAGUAGAUGUUGCAUGACAUUUGCUUAAAAGGUGCAAUUGCAUCACUACCAGAUGGACCUGCGUUGUAUUAGCUAGUUGGUGGGGUAACGGCUCACCAAGGCGACGAUACAUAGCCGACCUGAGAGGGUGAUCGGCCACACUGGGACUGAGACACGGCCCAGACUCCUACGGGAGGCAGCAGUAGGGAAUCUUCGGCAAUGGACGGAAGUCUGACCGAGCAACGCCGCGUGAGUGAAGAAGGUUUUCGGAUCGUAAAGCUCUGUUGUAAGAGAAGAACGAGUGUGAGAGUGGAAAGUUCACACUGUGACGGUAUCUUACCAGAAAGGGACGGCUAACUACGUG
RNAcentral lists this ribosomal RNA (495 nucleotides) under uncultured bacterium. RNAcentral's name for it is "partial 16S ribosomal RNA". It matches the Rfam family "Bacterial small subunit ribosomal RNA", at positions 28 to 507 of the family's 1533-position model. The record is from RNAcentral.